Long non-coding RNA from Hemicordylus capensis (graceful crag lizard), 4688 nucleotides. RefSeq lists it as uncharacterized. The record is from RefSeq and is a predicted model, not a curated record. Lineage: Eukaryota; Metazoa; Chordata; Lepidosauria; Squamata; Cordylidae. The transcript has 3 exons.
UCUUAGCCUAUAAUGCCUGCCUUCCUCUGAACUCUCAUGACACACAGUCUCAGCAGAUGCAACCUGCACACAAGGGCCUUGGCUGCUGGGCUUUUGUGAUAAGCCAGGUAGUGCAUAAGUUUGUUUGAGCAUGGUGGUAGGAGGAUUCCACACAUGGACUACACCUGAAUAUGAGCAAAUGAGGGUGUCUGCUGCUUUGGGCUUGGAUAUGCACGGUGUCUUUUCACAGUGUAUUCUGCAAGAACAUUGUGAGAUCAUGUCAGUGAGUGGCAUAUUGAAUCUUCUGGAACAACUAAUUCUACCACAAACCAGGUUAUCAUGAUGUAUAAUAGGAUUUUAGACUGCUAAAUUUGGACUGCAGGACUUUUGAUUCUGAAACCUACUAGAAGUCCACAUGGUUUUUCAGAAGUCCAGAACUCAAGCGAAAUACGAGCAGCAGCCAUUGGGAAGGUUGUUUAGGGAGUUAUUCGCACAUGGCUACAAAAAUACGACUGGGAUUUAACACUAUGUCUAUUUUCUAUUGAUAAAAAUUUAGAACAUUUAAUUCAUAUUAGAUUUUUUUAACAACAAAAAAGUUCACAAAGCAGUUUAAACAGCAAAAGGAAUAAGAAGAUGGUUCCUUGUCCCAAAAGGAUGCACAAUCUAAAAAGAAACUCAAGCAAAAUACCAGCAACAGCCAUUGGGAAGGAUGUUCAGGGAAUUAUUCACACAUGGCUUCAUGCUGAGGGGUAAAUGUUGAGCGAAACCACUUUGAAUCACACUCGCGGCAUUGAGGGAAGGAGCCCCUCCUCUCUGCUCUUGGGUUUCGUUUUGAUGCAAGUUCACAUGGCAUGCUUCCAUUUUUUCCUUCUAGUCAAUGGGGAGGGAGAGAGAGCGGGGGAGCUUUCUAAAGAGCUAUAUCUGCAUUUCUAAAUCUGCAUCCCUCAUCAUGCUAAUGAUUCUACGUCAGUGCCUUUAUCUAUUUGCUCUGGCAUUUUCAGAAAAAGUAGCUUAAAAACAACAUUUUUAAAACCCGGAAAUACACUGAGAUAAGCUAGAAUUCGCAAGACAAAGCCCAAUUUGUGUGUGGAGUGGGUCCAAAGAUCUCGAAGGGACUUCGGGGUAAGUUUGGCUGGAGUGUGAACGCACAUACUCUCUUCCGAAGGAGAUUUGGGGUAACAGCCCUGUCUGUAAAGCCUCCUGCUGUGUUAAAUAAGGACAGUUGCCUUAGAAGUCACUACCUUUUAAAGGCGUCUUUUAGCUCAGUUAGCAGGGGUGGCUGGGGUGACAUGUAGAUGACGAAUACAUGAAUUUGAUAAACAAGGCUGGUUAAUGUGGUUUCUGGAGUCUAGAAAAGCUGCAUACCAGGUAUCCAUUUAUUAAUCUCUAGGUUCUUUGUUUCAUAGAAUGUGAUUAGUAUAUUAUGCCAUUUUCUCCCUUUGAAACUGUGUUUCCUUGAAAGUUCCUAAUGAUUGUGUUUUAUUCAGUCAUCAGGACAAUUUAAACAAAAACAAAAACAAAAACAAAUGGCACAGGGCAAAGGGUGAUGGCUUCUCUGCCAAUGCCAUUGUCCUGAUCUGAUUGUCUCCUGGGGCUGCUAUUAAAAAAUUUUAAAACCCAGAAGAGAUCUUGAUUGUGGAGCUCUUGUGCACAUUGAGUUGAACAUGGACAAUAUCUCAAGCUGCACAGAUUGCAGAAAUGUGCAUGGCAGCUCUGUGGCAAUGAUACAAAUAAAUUACAAAAUGGCAUAACUUAUUUCAGUUACAGAUUUAUUGUCUACAUUAAAUCAUGAAGUGAACCUAUUUUUGAUUCCCAAAUGGCAAACUGUAGUUUAAUCUAGUUUGCAAAUGCUUGGCUGUGUUUUUCAAAGGCAGAUGACCUUGUAGAAAUCACCUGUCAUGUGCAGUUAAAUUGCAGAGAAAAAUUAUGACGACUCGAUGCUGAUUUUAUUGUACCUAUGCAUGCCAAACACAUUUGACAUGGAUAUUAGAUUUGCAGGGAAUGGAGCACUCUUAGCUCCACUGCUGUCAACCCUUAUUUAUAAUAACUAGUCUGUUAGCUGUAGGAAUAAAAGCUGGAUGCAAACUCUUCAGAGCAGAUUACUCAGUGAACUAGACAGCUUUCACUUAUGGUAACUGGGCACAUUCCGACUGCUUGUGAAAUCUUAACAGAGAUUGCUGGUGUUAGUCAGGGAUGUAAGGGAGGGAGUUUCUCAACACUCUCCUCCUCCUGUCUGGGUCCUCACUCAGCUUUAGCUGCUUUGUACUCCUUGUGCUGCCUCAAGGAGCUGGCUUCAGAGCUUUUCGUUCCUAGGAUGGUAGAUCUUGACCCCGUCCCCUUUGCCAUGGGAGUUCAGAGGAAGGCAGCCAUCAGAGGACAAGACUUCUUUAUUGUGUUACAGGAAGAGACAAGUUCAACAAGAAGUGCAGGCAGGAAGUAGGAAGGGACUCUGCCUCCAAUUAGGAUCACUACUAGCAAAUGCUAGUGCUCCCUACUGGCUGGACAUAUUACAACAACAUUUCCACGUACCCUUUAUCCUCCAUUUUCUGUUUCCCUGUCCUGUUUUCCCAACCCCCUUUGCCUACUUUUGCUCUCCCCUGUAACCCCUUUCUUUUUCCUCUUUACUCAGCUGCAGCUUAUGAUCCAGGGGAGGAGGCGAUGGAUGCCUCACUGCUAGCAUUGAGUAGUGUUGCAUGCUUGCCAGCUCCCAGAUUUAAAAGUAGAUUGACUGAAUCAGUUUAACAGCCUGGAAGCAGACAGAAGAAAAUCUGAAUUUAAUUAUAGUGCUUUAUGUUUUGUUAGUUGUAUGUAAACUUAGUUCAUGUAAAUGUAAGGUAUUCUUAUUAAAGAGGAAACAACAGCAAUGGCUGGCAUUCUGAUUAAUGGUAAGUGCAAUCUUUUUUAGGUGUGCAAUUCAGGACGGGUAAUUUCCCCUUACUCUGCAGUCAAUCAGGCUUCCCUUACUUUGCAGUCCACUGCUCCUUCCAAAAACAUGUCUCUGAGGGUCCCACAACUGGGCUCUAGAUGUAAGGGGAGAUCAGUGACAGGCAGCUGAGCUGUUGGCAGCAGUCAGGGGCAUAAGUUCUGGCCAGGACUGGGAAAGCCAGGAACUUACUAGGGGCUACUCUAGAUAAGCAGCUGGUUGCCAGGAAGAUCAAGACAGGAGCCACAAGCUAGUAACACACCAGAGUCAAAUCAGAGGGUCAUCAGGAGCCUGGAACACGCCAAACAAGAACAGUGCAAGAGGAACUUGAUACUGAGGCAAGGAUUGCUUCAUAUAUGCUUCCUAUUCAUAGAAAAGCCAAUCACAGAUCUCACAGGCUGGGACCAGCAUAGAGCCUGGAACUCAAAUACUGCUGCAGUGCCACAAUUCGCCACAAGCACCGUGGUGAGCAGAGCCCCAGCCUCAGGAAACUCUGGCAAUAGGUGAAAUGAAAAUCACCCCUCCUCUGAUGUGCACGCAAAACAUUUUUGUGCAUGUACAAUGUUAGUCUGGAUGUCAGCAGUGAUACUGUUUUUGAAGAUGCUUUUACAUAUGGUGAUACAAUGGCAUACAGUGAAUCUGUGGCAUACUGUGAAUCUAUGGCAUACACUGAAUCUAUACAAAACAUUUGUUUUUGUGAAUUCUUUAAAAUUAAAAAGGAAUUUUGAUUACUUUUAUUAGGAGGGUCCACUAUUUGAGAAUGUGGGCUGUUGACAAUGCCUAACUCCCAAGUCCCACAUAUGAUUAUUUCAGACAAACCUUUCCUUUUCCUUUUCUAGCAAUAGAAAACACACAUACAUUCUCUUGACUAUCAGAAUUGUCCAAGCAAGGUUUGUUUCAUCAGCCCAGUCUGAUUCUAGCAGAAAUGUGGGUCUGACUAUACAAGCUUCCACUGCACAUAGAAAGGCCUGAAAAUUGCCUUUUGUUAAUCACAGUGCUUGAGAAAUCUAGCCAUUGAAUUCUGCACAAAUCAGCUAUAAGACUCUUUGCUGUAACCUAUUCUGUACUACCCAUUUAUAUUUCUAUAGCACUUAGAUGUCAGGGCUAUAUUGUGCCAAGUAUUACACAGACAAAAAUGGCAAGCUUGAGGAUUUAACUGAAAAAUAAGCACAGCAGGUGAAUGCCAGAAGUGUACUGGGACUGACAAGCUAAAACUGGAAUUAAGAAAAUAGGAUGUAUGUGUGUGGUGGGUGGGGGAGAGAAACAUCAAACUACAUGACUUAAGUAAUUAAAAGUCCCCAUGCCUGGAGAAACAUGCAAUUGAAAUUAGCCAAUAAAGUGCAGAUGUGUGCUGGUACAGAACCUGCAACCACGUAAUUAGUCUAAUCAGCCCAGUGGCUGAUGCUGAUGUCUAUCUUGUGCUUCUUUUUAGACUGUGAGCCUUUUGGGGACGGAACCAUUUUCUUCUUACUCUUUUCUAUGUAAACUGCUUUGAAAACUUUUUUGUUGUUAAAAAGCAGUAUACAAUUAUUAUUAUUAUUAUUAGUAGUAGUAGUAGUAGUAAUAGUAGGUGUUGGGAUUUUGUUUUUGUUUAGACUAUAAAGAAGUUAGCAUGUUAAAGAAAGCAUACCUCCCCAAUUCCAUUUUUAGAAGAAUAGUUUGUCAUCUUCCAGAUUAUGUAGAAUAUGCUUCAAGUAAACUAGAUUCUAGUCCACUGUUAACUCUUUAUUGGCAGAUUCAAGUUUAUGUGUUGAAUUGUAAUAAUACCUCUUCUUGUUGUACUUUA